UUCUAUAUUUUUAUUUAAGUAAAUUAUAUUUUUGUUUCAUAAAUUAUGAAGCGCGUGUGACUUUAAUCCUUGCAAUAAUUAAUAGUACAGCAAUGAUUAAGAUGCCGUAUUACUUUUAUAUCAGAAAUAUGUUAAUAUUUAGUCACUUAAAUUAAAUAAUAAAAUUUAAUUUUAAUAAUUUUUAAAGUUGGAGAGAGAAAUUGAUGCAAAUUAUACUUUGAAAAUCAAAAUGUUACUUGGCACAUAAUUUGAUAACCAAAAGAGUUAUUUAGCCUCUUUAUUUUGAUUCACACUAAAUAUGAGUAUUGAACUAUUUUGGCUGUGAAAUAUAUAUUGUUUAUGAUUGCUGUGGAAAAUCGAAGCAGCAAAGGAACAGCUAUGAGUGUGCAUAUAAAAAUAGAGUAGGGUUGCUAUACUAUUAGGAGCACAGCAGCUAUUGUGUUCAUAACUUUAUGUGAUUAUGAUUAAAAAGAGAAGAAAAAUUAGAAAGAAAUUAAGUGUCUAAUUUUUUUUUUUUUUUCUCUCAUUCUAACCACUUAUCGAAAUUGAUAGAUGGUUCAGAAGUUAAAUAUGUCUUUUUAGGUUUGAAUAAAA
RNAcentral lists this long non-coding RNA (594 nucleotides) under Ananas comosus (pineapple). Its description in RNAcentral is "long non-coding RNA (ACOM_LNC038629)". The record is from RNAcentral. Lineage: Eukaryota; Viridiplantae; Streptophyta; Magnoliopsida; Poales; Bromeliaceae.